RNAcentral lists this long non-coding RNA (454 nucleotides) under Athene cunicularia (burrowing owl). RNAcentral's name for it is "lncRNA (ENSACUG00000002157.1)". Lineage: Eukaryota; Metazoa; Chordata; Aves; Strigiformes; Strigidae. The record is from RNAcentral.
UGACCCCAGUUUGUUGGCAAAGCUCACAGAAUGGGGCACGGAAAUGGUGUGUGGCCUCCAGGCUUUUAUGUCAGCCACGGUCUGCAUGGAGAUGCCUUUUCCUCCUGCUCCUCACCAGUCACACCAUGGCCAACGUUAGUGCAGAUCAUCCCUGGCCAGUGGCAAUGCAGCUGUGGGCUGGCACGUUCUGCGCCUACAGGGAGGAAAGGGGACCUUCAGGAAAACAACUCUUGCCAGGUCUCCAGAACUGAACAAACGUCCUGUUUUGCGGAGCCAUGAGCACCACAAAAGAUAACCACAAAUUUCACCUGAUACAUCCACGGUCUGGAAAGAGAUUAUUUUUCUUGACGCUGAGCUGACUUUUCUGACCAUCUCAAAGUAGACUUGGAGUCAACUGUGGGGUCCCAGGAGGGAAAAGGAGAAGCGAGUCAUGUUGUGGCUAUCAGCAUUUCAC